CCAGACUCCAAACUGGCGUAUAUAUGUCAACGCCUGAACGCCCAUCGUCGUACAUUUUACAUUCAGUUCUUAAUAGAUAUACAUAAUAGAGGCUUUACGGUUUUAUGGGGGUAGAACGGCAUGAGGGUAAAUAAAUAGACAGAUAGACAGAGAUGUCAACAGUUCAGUUUUAUUGCAGUGAUGAGCAAAAUGGAGUAAUGCAGGUGCUGGAGAAAUCAUAGAUAUGGAGAUGAGGAACCGGGAACCUUAAUUUUAUUGCCAUAAGUAUCGAUAUGUAAAGCUUGGGGCUGUUAAUUAGCCUGACAUGGCUGACUUGUUUUGAUUUAACAUUGUUAACGUUAUUUCCACCGAAUCGAACGCUACUAACAUUACCAUUUUGCCAUUAUGUUCACUCAGUUUGCUGGCGAAGGUUAUGUAAUCUGCACAGAUUUAGGACAUAUACUCAACUCAUGAGUCAUAGCCGAAUUGAGCAGCACCUGCGCAUUUCUGGCUUACUUCAACACAACCAUCACUAAACAACAAUUACAAAAAUAAAAAAAAAAUAAAAAUAAAAAAAAAUUCACCAAGCAA
Long non-coding RNA from Megalobrama amblycephala (Wuchang bream), 570 nucleotides. RefSeq lists it as uncharacterized. The transcript is spliced from 2 exons. NCBI's taxonomy places the organism in Eukaryota, Metazoa, Chordata, Actinopteri, Cypriniformes, Xenocyprididae. The record is from RefSeq and is a predicted model, not a curated record.